CGAAAAAUGUAUCUCUCCUUCCGAGAAACUGUGAAAGGCAUACUUACAAAUAAGGAAUGCUUAAAAAAGGAAUAAAAAUAAUAUAAACUGGGGUUUUGUAUACGUUUUAACAUUAAAUAUCAGAUAAUAUUUUGAAAUGGUCAGCAAAUAAAUUCGAAGCUGAUGUGAUGCUUACUUUAUGCAAAAAAACCUAUUAUAAGAUUAAUGAUUACCUAAAUAAUAAAAAUGCCUGGUAUUAAAUGUGUUCCUUUAGUCAUUAAAUAACUUAUAAUGUAUAAUUUAAAAGAUGUGUUGCUGUUGCAGUUUCUUGACAUUUCUUCUCCUUCGCCAUAACACCUUGAGAAAUGACGUAGAUUCAAAAAUGUUAAAUUCACCUUCAACAAGUUUAUCCAUGAUAAUUACGUUGAAUAAAUUAUUCUGAUUUCGGUUUUAUCCGUUUGUAUAUAAAUGUAUCUAACUCUCUACAGCAAACUUAAGAAUAAUAAUAAUUUAUUUCAGUAAAAAAAUUAGUCUGACUACACAAUGAAAACAGUUUGUGAUGCCUAAACUAUGUAAGUGACUCUUCCUGUAACCUAGGCACAACUAUAUUAAAUGUAGUCGAAAUAUAAUUAUAUAUUUCAUACACAAGGUUACAUAAAUAUAUAAGAAGCAAUAUUAUAUUACACCUACUGUAAUAUUAACACAUAUUAGUAGUCAUGCAAUAUCAUGUACCCACUUUAGAACCCUGUCGCACUACCAAAUUUGACAUUUAAUGAGACUUACGGUUUAAUUUGUCAAAAAUGUUAACGUGACAUGGUUUCAAUGUGUAUACAUAUUAGUACUCGUGACCGUACAUGUAAAUUCCAAAGUAUGAGCGCUUUCUAGGUAAUUGUCUUAACUUUUUUGAGCAAUAUCCUCUGUUGGUUUUUGCGACAUGCCCGAAAAGAUAAGAAAAUAAAUAUUAAAUUUAAAAAAAUGCUACCUUUUCUAAUUCAUUUGAACAACCAAUUAAUUAUCUCGAAAAACUCUGAAUGGGGGUACGGUCGUUUCAUGGUCCGUUACAAUCAUUUAAAGUAGACGGUUACCAACAAAACGUCUCCUCUACUAAUGAAAUGGUAUAAUAAAAUUAUACUACCCUCAAAAGUCGAUAGCGGAGCCGUCAGAGAUUAAAAUUAGAAGUAUAAAACCCUCGAUUUUCCGGGUACCUAUUUCUCAGCCUUAUUUUUGACAUAGAAUAAGAAUGAUAUAAAUUACAUAUAGGCUGGUUUUUCGCUUCGCGGGUUCGAAGGUCAGAUAGGCAGUCGCUUCUGUAAAAAACCGGAUCUAUCAAAUCUUUAGGUUAGGUAAGUAGACCCUGUAAAAAACGGGAUAAUGCUAGGGAGAUGAUGAUAUAUUACUAUAGAAUGGUAACACUCCGUCCCACGUCAUUUCUUAUCGGGGCCGAGCUAGAAUUCAAAUUCAAAAAUAUCUUUAUUCCUACGUAACAUAGUUAAACUACUGCAGCUUCUUGUAACAAAAAACGAAUAGCCAGGUGGAAGAAAUAGGCAGUUUUGUACCACCAUUAAGCUAUAUAUUUUGAUGUAUUUCUUUUUGCUUUCUUUUCAUUAGUAAAUUUAAAAAAAUGUAUACAGUAUUAGUUAAAAAAUCCCAGAGAUCAUGGUUAUGACAAACAGACUUAUACCGCGAAUUGCCAUCCGCGAUAACCCCUAUGCACAUUCUAGUUAAUAAAUCAUUAACUCAAUUGAUAACUUGUCUCAGUAAGCGGUAAUAACAUGAUGUAUACUAAGAAUGCUUAUAUGCGCAGGAUUUCAUACACAAACAUCCGGAUUGAUAAACAACAUGCUUAUAAAAACAAUCGUAUUAAAGUAGACAGAACCACGAGUCGUAAAAGCAAAAGUUUCUAGUAAACCAAAUUCAAACAACUGCAGUUGGUUUUAUAAUUUACUUCUUUGUUUAUUUAAUAUUGACACAAAUAUAAAAAUAUAAAUUAUUCUUGCAUAUAAAGCGUAGUGUACCUUGGUAGUGAAAGCCAAAGUACCUAUUUUAUUCAAAAGUCUGAUCACCUGAUUGUCCGAAAGUAAGAUGAUCCGUGCUUCAGAGGGCACAUUACCGUUGGUCUCGGUUACUACUUACUAAUGUAAUUUAGUAGUCGUUACAUGAGCCAUGUUAGGGGCCUUAGGCGGCUCAAUAGUAACCCCGACACCAGGGUUGAUGGGAUUGGUAAUCCACCUCACAACCCACACGACAAAAGAAGUUAUUCACGAAAAUCGAAGUACAGUCGAGUUUUGUUUUUUCCUGUUUGUGCAAUAAAGUAUUUGUUAUGUUAUGUUACACCUAUAAGUAAUAACUUUUGCUAGAAAGAGUUACACUGGCGUUUGCUACGAAGAGAUUGCUAUUUAGCAAUAAGGCCGCUUAUUGUACUCUUUCUAUUUCUCUUUUGUUUUGUAGUUUGUGCAAUAAAGUAUUCGUUAUAUUAUGAUAGUAAUGAUGAAGGUGAUUAUUUAAGCCAGCAAUAGUUCAACUACAUUGUAUAGAAAGAAAAGACGAGAAAAGAAAAGAGAGAAGAAGAAAUAUGUUAUUAUUGCGAAAAGCAGAACCACUAUCAUGAGGGAAUAAUGCAAAGGAGAGAGAGAAAGAAUACAGAGCAAAGGUCAACAGUACAUAUAAGGUAUAUCGUCCAUGAUAACACAGUUAUAUCUAUCGGAAUCAGGUGCUGAAACAGCCACUGGUAAUCUUCUUCCGUCGUCUUCCCUCGUCGCUAUCCACAUUUUAUAGUCACCAUGUCUCACAAAGUUCAAUUGCCCAAACACACAAGACGGGAACAAUAUCUGAUCUCCGUGCGUCUCUCUAUGAAUGAUAGUGAAUCUCACGUCGUAGUUAGCAGGGAAUACCACUUUUAACUCGAAUUUCGUUUCGUCAAGAAUAGAAAUGUCAAGUUUGUGAAGACAUUUCAGCUUCCAGUAAGCAAUAUCUUCAUUAUAAACUGGUGUCACUUUCAGUUUUGAUGAAGGGCAGAAAACACCUUCCGUAUAUAUAGAUUUCACGUGCGCCAUUUUCCAUUCUCCUAUAAGAUCUUCUGUCCUUUCAAUUUUGGUAGUAAAGUCCUCAGCUUCAAGACAUAUUUUUGAACUCCCUUUGAUUACACUGAUGUUUAAUAUAAAUAGCAAAGAGCCAAAUAAUAAACUGCGUAAUGAGUACUUGGAAAUCAUCGUGUUGUGAUGACUGGACUGCAAAUAACCGGAUAGUGUUAUGUUUUAAGUAAGAGGGAGAUAAGCGUAGUAAAGCUCUAUAGUACUGACUAAUGACACAACGGUUGGUGAGGCCGGUCAUCGACCUAAUAAGUUACACAGAAACAAGAUAAUUAAGAAACAGGAUAAUGACUAAAACAAAUAUACGUUUACGAAAAAAAACAGAGAGAGACUCGAAGCCUUUGAAAUGUGGUAUUAGGGCAGGAUGGAAAGAAUAAGUUGGACAAAAAGGGUGACUAAUGAAGAAGUGCUAGAAAGAGUAAUGGAAAGGAGACGAAUAUUGAGAGUUAUUAAGGACAGAAGAGGCAGGAUGAUUGGACACUUAAUAAGACACGACGAAUUUAUUAUAAACGUCGUAGCAGGGAACAUAGAAGAAAAGAGAGGAAGGGGAAGACUAAGACAAGCAGACAUGGAAUAAAUUAAAGAGAAGGCAAACGUCGUGUCUUAUAAGGAAGUCUAAGAAUUGGCCCUUGAUAGACAAGAAUGGAGAAUACUACACCAACAAGAGCGUGGCUCUUAAAUUGAUGAUGAAAAUGUGAUACACUGUAUAUUCCUAAGUAACAUUGAUUCUGCUAUGACAGAAUGUAAUGUCUGGUGUUGUAAUUGUAGGUUUAGUAUGAUCUACUCUGAACUGGUGUAUAUGAAACGAUUGAUAAAGGUGGAAGAAGCAAGAGAAGAGGGUCAGGAUCGAAGCAAAUGGAAUUCCGUAGUCUGCUUACCCCGAAAAUAGGGUGUGAGUUAGUGUAUGUAAUGUACCUAUGUACUAAUUGUAAUAUUUUGACUCAAUUGUGAUUAUUCUAUUGGGUACUGUCCUUGGUUAAAGAUAAAUUAUAAAAUU
Molecule: long non-coding RNA, 4065 nt
Organism: Pectinophora gossypiella (pink bollworm)
Lineage: Eukaryota; Metazoa; Arthropoda; Insecta; Lepidoptera; Gelechiidae
Exons: 3
Source: RefSeq, a predicted model, not a curated record